CUUCCCAUUUGACUACCACAUUUUCUACUACUAAUAGAUUUUUAGUGGCUAUGCUUAUGGGAUAGAGUAAAACUGCCAUGAUCUGAAGAGGGAGGAUUUCUUUGUGUCCUUCUCCUAUAUGAAAUGGCUAAACAGAAAAAG
This is a small nucleolar RNA of Suncus etruscus (white-toothed pygmy shrew), 141 nucleotides long. RefSeq annotates it as small nucleolar RNA SNORA29. The record is from RefSeq and is a predicted model, not a curated record. The transcript has a single exon. Lineage: Eukaryota; Metazoa; Chordata; Mammalia; Eulipotyphla; Soricidae.